UCCUUUAACGAGUACCCAUUGGAGGGCAAGUCUGGUGCCAGCAGCCGCGGUAAUACCAGCUCCAAUAGCGUAUAUUAAUGUUGUUGCGGUUAAAAAGCUCGUAGUUGAAUUUGUGUUCCGCGCUGUCGGUUCACCGCCCGCGGUGUUUAACUGGCACGUCCGCGGAACGUCCUGCCGGUGGAUGCGUGGACCUUGUAUGCUUCCCCAUUGUGCGUGUGCAACUUCGGUUGUUACUGUAUGAUGUGGUGGGGUUGCAGGCGCUCUACCAUCCGACUCAAUAAUCCUGUCGCGGUGCUCUUAAUUGAGUGUCGAGGCGGGCCGGCACGUUUACUUUGAACAAAUUAGAGUGCUCAAAGCAGGCUAAAAUUUCGCCUGAAUACUGUGUGCAUGGAAUAAUGGAACAGGACCUCGGUUCUAUUUUGUUGGUUUUCGGAAACCCGAGGUAAUGAUUAAUAGGGACAGAUGGGGGCAUUCGUAUUGCGACGUUAGAGGUGAAAUUCUUGGAUCGUCGCAAGACGGACAGAAGCGAAAGCAUUUGCCAAAAAUGUUUUCAUUAAUCAAGAACGAAAGUCAGAGGUUCGAAGGCGAUCAGAUACCGCCCUAGUUCUGACCAUAAACGAUGCCAGCUAGCGAUCCGCCGACGUUCCUCCGAUGACUCGGCGGGCAGCUUCCGGGAAACCAAAGCUUUUGGGUUCCGGGGGAAGUAUGGUUGCAAAGCUGAACUUAAAGGAAUUGACGGAAGGCACCACCAGAGUGGAGCCUGCGGCUUAA
This 771-nucleotide ribosomal RNA is filed under the name Microcharidius sp. 41 aff. atienzai CA-2017. Its description in RNAcentral is "SSU rRNA". It matches the Rfam family "Eukaryotic small subunit ribosomal RNA", at positions 530 to 1193 of the family's 1831-position model. Lineage: Eukaryota; Metazoa; Arthropoda; Insecta; Coleoptera; Carabidae. The record is from RNAcentral.